Molecule: ribosomal RNA, 439 nt
Filed under: uncultured bacterium
Lineage: Bacteria
Description: bacterial SSU rRNA
Rfam family: Bacterial small subunit ribosomal RNA
Source: RNAcentral
AACGCGAAGAACCUUACCUGGGCUCGAAUGUACGGGAAUCACUUAGAAUAGGUGCGCCUAGCAAUAGGCCCGUAUAUAGGUGCUGCAUGGCUGUCGUCAGCUCGUGUCGUGAGAUGUUGGGUUAAGUCCCGCAACGAGCGCAACCCUUAUCUCCAGUUGCUACCAUUUAGUUGAGCACUCUGGCGAAACCGCCUCGGAUAACGGGGAGGAAGGUGGGGAUGACGUCAAGUCCUCAUGGCCUUUAUGUCCAGGGCUACACACGUGCUACAAUGGCCGGUACAAACCGCUGCGAACCCGCGAGGGGGAGCCAAUCGGAAAAAGCCGGCCUCAGUUCGGAUUGGAGUCUGCAACUCGACUCCAUGAAGCUGGAAUCGCUAGUAAUCGCAGAUCAGAAUGCUGCGGUGAAUACGUUCCCGGGCCUUGUACACACCGCUACAGU